AGGACGAACGCUGGCGGCGUGCUUAACACAUGCAAGUCGAGCGGAAAGGCCCUUCGGGGUACUCGAGCGGCGAACGGGUGAGUAACACGUGAGUAACCUGCCCCUAGCUCUGGGAUAGCUCCGGGAAACCGGGAUUAAUACCAGAUACGACCACUUUAGACAUCUGUCGUGGUGGAAAGGAUUCCGGCUAGGGAUGGGCUCGCGGCCUAUCAGCUUGUUGGUGGGUAACGCUACCAAGGCGACGACGGUA
This 250-nucleotide ribosomal RNA is filed under the name uncultured bacterium. RNAcentral's name for it is "partial small subunit ribosomal RNA". It matches the Rfam family "Bacterial small subunit ribosomal RNA", at positions 26 to 285 of the family's 1533-position model. The record is from RNAcentral.